Molecule: non-coding RNA, 45 nt
Filed under: Schistosoma curassoni
Lineage: Eukaryota; Metazoa; Platyhelminthes; Trematoda; Strigeidida; Schistosomatidae
Source: RNAcentral
AUCCAGCUGACGAGUCUUAAAUAGGACGAAACACGCGUCCUGGAU